CCCGCUGAAUUUAAGCAUAWUAUUAAGCGGAGGAAAAGAAACUAACUAAGAUUGACAGAGUAAGGGCGACUGAAAUGUCAAGAGCUCAGCAUGUGAAUCAGCGCUCGCCUCUUUGUGAGCGCUGAAUUGUGGUCUUACGACUUUUGCGUUCAGUACGGGUCCGACCAUGUUUUUUGGAAUAAAAUAGCACAGAGGGUGAAACUCCCGUGCGUCGGACCUAGCGAAGCAAAUUGUCACUGAGUCGAGUUGUUUGGGAUUGCAGCUCUAAUUGUACGGUGGUAAAUUCCAUCUCAAGCUAAAUACUGGCAGGAAACCGAUAGCGAAAAAGUACCGUGAGGGAAAGAUGCAAAGAACUUUGAAAAGAGAGUGAAAGAGUACCUGAAAUUGCUGAAAAGGAAGCGAACGAAGCUAGUGAACGCUGCGUCAUACUUUCCAACUUGCUUGCAAUUUGGACGCUGUGGCCAGCCCAGUUGGGCUUGACUGCGUCUGGUGAAAACUGGCAACGAAAAGACUCCAUUUUCAAGCGCCAACUAUCUGCACCAGUCGCACUUGAGCUGAACGAAAUAGAUUUGUUUGCCCCGUCUAGAAACACGGACCAAGGAGUCUAACAUAUGUGCGAGUACAGGGGCAACCAACCUCGGUGCGCAAUGAAAGUGUCAGAGGCUGGAAUGUCGUAACAAACAUUGCACAGUCCGCCGGCCUCCAUCCUUUGGGAAAAUGGUCUGAGUGUGAGCAUACAUGUUGGGACCCGAAAGAUGGUGAACUAUGCUUGAGUAGGGUGAAGCCAGGGGAAACUUUGGUGAAGGCUCGCAGCGAUUCUGACGUGCAAAUCGAUCGUCAAACUUGAGUAUAGGGGCGAAAGACUAAUCGAACUAUCUAGUAGCUGGUUCCCUCCGAAAUUUCCCUUAGGAUAGCUGCAAUCGAACAAGCCAGUUUUGUCAGGUAAAGC
Molecule: ribosomal RNA, 949 nt
Filed under: Pinnularia borealis
Lineage: Eukaryota; Bacillariophyta; Bacillariophyceae; Sellaphorales; Pinnulariaceae
Description: eukaryotic LSU rRNA
Rfam family: Eukaryotic large subunit ribosomal RNA
Source: RNAcentral